GAUGAACGCUGGCGGCGUGCCUAAUACAUGCAAGUCGAGCGAACGGACGAGAAGCUUGCUUCUCUGAUGUUAGCGGCGGACGGGUGAGUAACACGUGGAUAACCUACCUAUAAGACUGGGAUAACUUCGGGAAACCGGAGCUAAUACCGGAUAAUAUUUUGAACCGCAUGGUUCAAAAGUGAAAGACGGUCUUGCUGUCACUUAUAGAUGGAUCCGCGCUGCAUUAGCUUGUUGGUAAGGUAACGGCUUACCAAGGCAACGAUGCAUAGCCGACCUGAGAGGGUGAUCGGCCACACUGGAACUGAGACACGGUCCAGACUCCUACGGGAGGCAGCAGUAGGGAAUCUUCCGCAAUGGGCGAAAGCCUGACGGAGCAACGCCGCGUGAGUGGUGAAGGUCUUCGGAUCGUAAAACUCUGUUAUUAGGGAAGAACAUAUGUGUAAGUAACUGUGCACAUCUUGACGGUACCUAAUCAGAAAGCCACGGCUAACUACGUG
Molecule: ribosomal RNA, 497 nt
Filed under: uncultured bacterium
Lineage: Bacteria
Description: partial 16S ribosomal RNA
Rfam family: Bacterial small subunit ribosomal RNA
Source: RNAcentral